AUGGCUCCUGGGGCGGGGAGCGAGGUAGGACAGGUUUUUUGGUCCUGGUGUGGAGCGGGAGGGUUGAAGAACUGUGCGAGAGGGGAAAUCACUCUUCAAGAAAUUGCACUUAUGAACUUAGACACGAGAGCAAGAAAGUGUGUGUGUCUCUCUGUGUGUGUGUGUGUGUGUGUGUGUGUGUGUGUGUGUCAGGGAGAGUCAGAAUCAGAUCUCAGACUGCAGAGACACACUGACUAAUGUGGGUUGUGUAAUAUAGUACAUCUCUAAAAGUAGUUCAAACUGCAUUGAAGAUCAAAUCUUUUUAAUUACUGUGGGUUUUAAUUUGCAGCAACUCCAUGCUGAGGUUCUUAAAGGUGCAGUAGCAACACAUUCCCUAUGGGGGUGAAACGAACCAUUGAUCCGGAUAGGCAUAGGGAUUCAAUGAUAAACGGUCAAAUGUGAUCGGUACGCAGUGAAAGCAUCUAUCCAUCCGAUCAUUUUUAAGAAUUGCAUUCAUUUUGAAAUUGCCCCUACCAUGUCCGUAUCACCUUUUCCACCCAGGCCCUUCCCCUUCAUGAAAAUUCAAACAGUGUUAAUGCAAGCAGCUGAGAAAAAGACAUGGAGGAUAUUUUACUCCCAUCUCGGAAAUACAUCAGCAGCGUCAACAGACUCACUCAGUGUCUCACUCAGUGGUCGGCUAAGCUGUUGCUCUCACUGCAGCGAUAUAAACUGCUCUGUUUCAACAAUAAUCUGAGGCUGAAAAAUGAUACACUCAUUCAACCUUGAUGUUCGGUUUGAAGAUGCAGUGACUUAAACCAGCAAUGAGUAAAGAAACGUUUAAAUAAUACUGAAUAAGCUAAAACUAGAGGAAAUGUCCACUAGACAGUAGACUAGAAUUUAUCCAUUGUAAAAUGUUCUAGGCUUGAGCUUAAAAUAGUGUCUUGUAAAAAAAAUUGUUGUUUUGUGUCAUGACAGUUGAUUAUUAGCCAUAUUUUACAGACCAAAUCACAAUGUUUGUUUCCAACCACUUUGUAGUAGAAAACCCUUGCAUCACGCAUUAGCUUGUGUCACUGUCCUUCUAAUGAUAUUUCAGUGAAUACAUUAAAUUCAUCAUCAUUCGUCUUGUGAUGAUGAUGAAAAUGAUAAUAAUAAUAAUGAUACAUUUAUUUUAUAUAGCGCUUUUCAGGUACUCAAAGACGCUUCACAGGUUAAAACAGAGGUAUAAAAACAACACACGUAAAAUAGAAAGAAAAGAAACAGAUUAUACAUUAAAAGCCAUUGGUGAUGAUGUCACAGAUUGAUUUGACGUAUCUCCAAAAUGCCAAUCAACAGCCAACUGGAAGGAACUGUUGUGGUUUCAAAGAUGUCAUAGUUACUUGGUCUGUACGUUUAAGAAAUGUUCUUGUUGUUAAGCCAUAUUGUAUUUGUGUGAGUAAAGUCAGUUUAAAGUAAGUUUUACUGCACAUGACCGCUUCUAAUAAUGUACAGAUGGCAUCGAUCGUCAGCCCCAGAAUUGCAUCUGAUCAAAAUUGUAUCCAGGUAGGCUUUGUGAGGUAGCUGAAUAUGAACACCAACAGCCGAUUAAAGCAUCUGAAUGUGACGACCUUGGAAAGUGAAAAUAAUCAACCAACAUAAUCAACUAUAUAACUUCAGAAUCGCACACUGCACCUUUAAAGCCUUCCCCACAGUGUUCUACAUUGAUCUCAAUCUUAAGUGAUUAGGUCACCUGAAACCUUGACCUUUGGAUUCAUCGUCUGGUUGGAAUUAUUCUUAUCUGACCAGCAAUGACUUCACUCUGUAUGUCACAUUGGAAAAUACCUGUAUCAACGCGUGUCUCUGAGUAUGAGAGUGAACUGAGAAUCAAUCACUGAACACUUGUGUUUUGUGUUAAUUGCAUGCUGUCAAAUUGCCACUGUAAUGUGAUUUUAAAUGAACCCCAGGUCCUGGGAGUUAAUUAAAAAACGUUAUCAGUUUCUGCAGCAAGGAGCGAUUUCAUUUUUUUUUUCUUCUAUCACUCUCCUGCAUUCACUCUUAAUUCAAUCCUGCGAGUUUAAGAUUCACAGAGAGGCUUGUUUGUCAUUUUGCCAGCCGUUUGUCAUUUUCUCCCUCAGCUCUCCUCUUCGUCUGUCUGCUAUCCUUUAUUUGUCACUUAGCGUCUCUUGAAAUCUAUAUUUUAUUGCAUCAUUUCGUGUUUUUCCGAAUGCCUUGGGUAGCAGCAGUGAUGGAAAAAUCAGCCUUCUGGUUGAGCCUCACUGUUUCACACACUAACACACACUCAGACACUGAUUACUAAACAACUCUGGGGCUGUCACCUGCAUCCUGUUGUCGUAGGUUACAAGGCAUAAUAGGUUACAGACAGGAACCGACAACCAAGAUGUGUCACUUCAUGGGUAC
This is a long non-coding RNA of Sparus aurata (gilthead seabream), 2373 nucleotides long. NCBI's taxonomy places the organism in Eukaryota, Metazoa, Chordata, Actinopteri, Spariformes, Sparidae. The record is from Ensembl.